Astatotilapia calliptera (eastern happy) is the source of this 663-nucleotide long non-coding RNA. Lineage: Eukaryota; Metazoa; Chordata; Actinopteri; Cichliformes; Cichlidae. The record is from Ensembl.
GAUAAUCCAAUAUAGUGGGCGGAGGUAAUUGACCCCAUGUUGAUAGAAGCGCUGGAAGGAAACCAAGCAAACCGGGGGUGGAUGACUUCAUGAGUGGCAGUGAUCGGCAGCUGUUCUCUUGUUGAACAGCAGAGGGCAACGCCAACAAUCUCUUCUCUGUUUCACCAAACUGGGCUACAGGUCAUCGCCUUGAUGCUUCACAAAGGCUGUAAGAAACAACACACAGCAGGCCUUUGGACUGAAGAUGAAUAGCUGUGGUUGGCAGAGGCGACCUCCGUGCCGGACAGCCCGCUGUUAUCGCCACUGAUCGCCAGGUGCAUCAGCUGAAAGGCAACAGCAGCUUCCACUGGAGACAAUACACAAAAGAGCGUGGAAACACAAGCACACACAUACACGCACUGCCUAAAUUCAUAUGCAUUUUUUUUCACAGUAUAUAACAAAUGUCCACUGAGUCCACGGAGGGCAUUUUAUGGCAUCAAAAAGGCGCAUUAUUUAAUCCACCACACAAUGUAAUAAUACUUCAAUUGUGUUAUUAUCUGUAUUAUUAUUGUUGUUGUUGUUGUUAUUAUUGCUAUGAUGGCAGGUCAGGCCUCAGUAAAAUAUCACUUUGGGCUGUCUGCUUUAGGUUGCCUGUCUGUGUGUUGUUAUUGGACUGUGUGGAGC